RNAcentral lists this ribosomal RNA (463 nucleotides) under uncultured bacterium. Its description in RNAcentral is "partial 16S ribosomal RNA". It matches the Rfam family "Bacterial small subunit ribosomal RNA", at positions 28 to 502 of the family's 1533-position model. The record is from RNAcentral.
GACGAACGCUGGCGGCGUGCUUAACACAUGCAAGUCGAACGGAAAGGCCCUGCUUUUGUGGGGUGCUCGAGUGGCGAACGGGUGAGUAACACGUGAGUAACCUGCCCUUGACUUUGGGAUAACUUCAGGAAACUGGGGCUAAUACCGGAUAGGAGCUCCUGCUGCAUGGUGGGGGUUGGAAAGUUUCGGCGGUUGGGGAUGGACUCGCGGCUUAUCAGCUUGUUGGUGGGGUAGUGGCUUACCAAGGCUUUGACGGGUAGCCGGCCUGAGAGGGUGACCGGCCACAUUGGGACUGAGAUACGGCCCAGACUCCUACGGGAGGCAGCAUUGGGGAAUAUUGCACAAUGGGCGGAAGCCUGAUGCAGCAACGCCGCGUGCGGGAUGACGGCCUUCGGGUUGUAAACCGCUUUCGCCUGUGACGAAGCGUGAGUGACGGUAAUGGGUAAAGAAGCACCGGCUAACU